GGGUGAUUAGCUCAGUUGGUUUAGAGCGCACGCUUCACACGCGUGAGGUCACAGGUUCGAAUCCUGUAUUACCCACCC
Molecule: transfer RNA, 78 nt
Filed under: Bacteroidota bacterium
Lineage: Bacteria; Pseudomonadati; Bacteroidota
Description: Bacteroidetes bacterium (sediment metagenome) tRNA-Val
Rfam family: tRNA
About the family: Transfer RNA (tRNA) molecules are approximately 80 nucleotides in length. Their secondary structure includes four short double-helical elements and three loops (D, anti-codon, and T loops).
Source: RNAcentral